UGGUUGAGUGAUAACGUAAGGGAAAAAAUUGAUAUUACCUUACUAUUAGUGUUGUCCAAAUUACUGGUGCCAGAAGACUCGGUAACGCCAGAAACGCAAACGUUAGUCGUCUUAAUCAGGCGUAGAGGGUGUGUAGGCCGCUUUUAAUAUAAACUAAAAGCUAGAAUCAAAAUGAGGAUAGCAAAAUGCUAAGUGUAGGGUUAAUAUCUGCAAAUACUAAGUGGAAUACUCACGGUGAAAACUGCUAUCUAAUAAUGAUUGACGCUGAGACACUAAGGUUUGGAGAGGAAAUAGGAUUAGAUACCCAGAUACCCCUUACUGUCAACGAUGAAUGGUAGUUGCUAAUUUAUAUUGAAUUAGUUACGAUGCUAACGCGUUAACCAUUCCCCGUUGCAAGUACG
RNAcentral lists this ribosomal RNA (401 nucleotides) under Ripartitella brasiliensis. RNAcentral's name for it is "small subunit ribosomal RNA". It matches the Rfam family "Bacterial small subunit ribosomal RNA", at positions 423 to 884 of the family's 1533-position model. Lineage: Eukaryota; Fungi; Basidiomycota; Agaricomycetes; Agaricales. The record is from RNAcentral.